GACGAACGCUGGCGGCGUGCUUAACACAUGCAAGUCGCACGAGGACGGGAGCUUGCUCCCGAGCCGAGUGGCGGACGGGUGAGUAACACGUGACCAACCUGUCCUAGGGUGAGGGACAACCUGGGGAAACCCGGGCUAAUACCGCAUGAUGUCUCGAGGUCGCAUGGCCAUGAGAUCAAAGAGGGCCUCUGCUUGCAAGCUCUCGCCCUGGGAGGGGUCGCGGCGUAUCAGCUAGUUGGUGAGGUAACGGCCCACCAAGGCUACGACGCGUAGCGGGUCUGAGAGGACGACCCGCCUCAUUGGGACUGAGAUACGGCCCAGACUCCUACGGGAGGCAGCAGUGGGGAAUAUUGCGCAAUGGACGAAGUCUGACGCAGCGACGCCGCGUGUGGGAGGAAGCUCUUCGGGGGUGUAAACCACUGUCAGGAGGGAAGAAACUCGCCGUACCGAAUAGGGCCGGCGAUUGACGGUACCUCCAAAGGAAGCGCCGGCUAACUCCGUGCCAGCAGCCGCGGUAAGACGGAGGGCGCAAGCGUUGUUCGGAAUUACUGGGCGUAAAGCGCGGGCAGGCGGUCUGUUAAGUCGUUUGUGAAAAUCCGGGGCUCAACUCCGGAAAUGCGUACGAUACUGGCAGGCUGGAGACUGGUAGAGGCUAGCGGAAUUUCCUGGUGUAGCGGUGGGAAUGCGUAGAUAUCAGGAAGAACACCUGUGGCGAAGGCGGGCUAGCUGGGCCCAGUUCUGACGCUCAUCCGCGAAAGCGUGGGG
Molecule: ribosomal RNA, 765 nt
Filed under: uncultured bacterium
Lineage: Bacteria
Description: bacterial SSU rRNA
Rfam family: Bacterial small subunit ribosomal RNA
Source: RNAcentral